ACCAACCCUAGCCCAAAAAGCUACCAAAGCAUAACAAUAACUCCUAAGUUAAAUAAAACAUUUACUCUAAUUAAAGUAUAGGAGAUAGAAAUUUUUACCUGGAGCUAUAGAGAAAGUACCGUAAGGGAAAGAUGAAAGAUAACAGUUUACAGUAAGACAAAGCAAAGACUAAUCCUUUUACCUUUUGCAUAAUGAGCUAACCAGAACCUAACUUCGCAAAAAGAAUUUUAGCCAAGUACCCCGAAACCAAGCGAGCUACCUACGAGCAAUCAAUUAGAAUCAACCCGUCUAUGUGGCAAAAUAGUGGGAAGACUUGUAGGUAGAAGUGAAAGACCUAGCGAGCAUGGUGAUAGCUGGUUGUCCAGAUCAGAAUUUUAGUUCAACUUUAAGUUUACCUAAAGCACUAAAUAAUCCCAAUGUAAACUUAAUUGUUAUUCUAAAGAGGUACAGCUCUUUAGAUAAGGGAAACAACCCCCUUUAGUGAGUAAAGCCCAAAACCACCAUAGUUGGCCUAAAAGCAGCCAUCAAUUAAAAAAGCGUUCAAGCUUAACUUAUAACUAAAACUUAAUUUCAAUAUUCUAGUCAUACCUCCUAAAUCUUAACUGGACUAAUCUAUACAAUAUAUAGAGGCAACAAUGUUAACAUAAGUAACAAGAAACAAUUCUCCCUGCAUAAGCUUAUAUCAGACCGAAUAAAUCACUGAUAGUUAACAAACAUAUAAUAAAAUACAAAAACUAAACUUUUAUUACUACUACUGUUAACCCAACACCGGAAUGCAUAAAGGGAAAGAUUCAAAAGAGUAAAAGGAACUCGGCAAACACUAACCCCGCCUGUUUACCAAAAACAUCACCUCUAGCAUCAAUAGUAUUAGAGGCACCGCCUGCCCAGUGACAUAUGUUCAACGGCCGCGGUAUCCUGACCGUGCAAAGGUAGCAUAAUCAUUUGUUCCUUAAAUAGGGACUUGUAUGAAUGGCUUGACGAGGGUUCAACUGUCUCUUACUCCCAAUCAGUGAAAUUGACCUCCCCGUGAAGAGGCGGGGAUAAUCAAAUAAGACGAGAAGACCCUAUGGAGCUUAAAUUUACUAAUCUAAGCAAUCCGACACUAACUUCCCCUGGAAUAAUUAAAACCUUGCCUUUAGAUUACAGAUUUUGGUUGGGGUGACCUCGGAGCAUAAAACAACCUCCGAAUGAUUUUAACCUAGACAUCACAUGUCCAAGUUCAUAUUCAUCAAUUGACCCAAUCCUAUUGAUCAACGGAACAAGUUACCCUAGGGAUAACAGCGCAAUCCUACUCAAGAGUCCAUAUCGACAGUAGGGUUUACGACCUCGAUGUUGGAUCAGGACAUCCAAAUGGUGUAACCGCUAUUAAUGGUUCGUUUGUUCAACGAUUAAAGUCCUACGUGAUCUGAGUUCAGACCGGAGAAAUCCAGGUCGGUUUCUAUCUAUUUAAUGUUUCUCCCAGUACGAAAGGACAAGAGAAAUAAGGCCAAUUCCCCCACCAUGCCUUAGAGACAAAAAGUGAAAUAAUCUCAAUUUAAUAAACCAUUACACCCAACCCCCGAGAACUAGGGCUU
Molecule: ribosomal RNA, 1574 nt
Filed under: Petaurista hainana
Lineage: Eukaryota; Metazoa; Chordata; Mammalia; Rodentia; Sciuridae
Description: 16S ribosomal RNA
Rfam family: Bacterial large subunit ribosomal RNA
Source: RNAcentral